UACGUAGGGGGCAAGCGUUGUCCGGAUUUAUUGGGCGUAAAGCGCACACAGGCGGUUGCGCAAGUUUGGAGUGACAGUGCCUGGCUUAACCAGGCAAGGCCUCUGAAAACUGUGCAACUUGAGGACCAGAGAGGGACAUAGAAUUCCGGGUGGAGUGGUGAAAUGCGUAGAUAUCCGGAGGAAUACCAAAGGCGAAGGCAGUGUCCUGGCUGGUAACUGACGCUCAGGUGCGAAAGCCAGGGGAGCGAACAGG
This 253-nucleotide ribosomal RNA is filed under the name uncultured bacterium. RNAcentral describes it as "partial 16S ribosomal RNA". It matches the Rfam family "Bacterial small subunit ribosomal RNA", at positions 524 to 776 of the family's 1533-position model. The record is from RNAcentral.